CACCUGCACAGGUGCUGCAUGGCUGUCGUCAGCUCGUGUCGUGAGAUGUUCGGUUAAGUCCGCUAACGAGCGCAACCUCGUCGUAUGUUAUAUGUGUCAUACGAGACUGCCGGUAAAAAGCCGGAGGAAGGUGAGGAUGAUGUCAAGUCAGCAUGACCUUUAUAUCCAGGGCUACACACACGCUACAAUGGUCUGUACAAUGGGUAGCCAAGCCGCGAGGCGGAGCCAAUCCUGAAAGCAGGCCUCAGUUCAGAUUGCAGUCUGCAACUCGACUGCAUGAAGCCGGAGUUGCUAGUAACCGCAGGUCAGCAAUACUGCGGUGAAUACGUUCCCGGGUCUU
Molecule: ribosomal RNA, 340 nt
Filed under: uncultured Anaerolineaceae bacterium
Lineage: Bacteria; Bacillati; Chloroflexota; Anaerolineae; Anaerolineales; Anaerolineaceae
Description: bacterial SSU rRNA
Rfam family: Bacterial small subunit ribosomal RNA
Source: RNAcentral